RNAcentral lists this long non-coding RNA (1234 nucleotides) under Homo sapiens (human). Its description in RNAcentral is "HSALNT0289853". Lineage: Eukaryota; Metazoa; Chordata; Mammalia; Primates; Hominidae. The record is from RNAcentral.
AGGAGCAGGGGGCAAUGCCACAGAGGCGCUGGGAGGAGGCUCCGGGUUGGCACCUUCUUCACCUGUGGCAGGAUUCAUGAGUGGGAGGCCCUUCGCCCCGGCUGCACAUGAGCGCGAAUGUGACCCCCGGUGACAAGCAUGGGGACCUCCUCCAGCCCCCAGCCACCAGGCCCUCUUGUCCCUAACCCUGAGGCUCUCCCACGCAGGCCUGAAUUCCCAGAAAACUGGGAGCAGCUUUGAGUUCUGCGGAUGACGGAUUUCCGGAAUGGCUUUUAACGGGGUCGUUUUCAGAAAUUCCUCUCACGUAAAGGGCAACUGCUGGGCUUUGUGUACAGGCUGAAGGCCUGGGAGGGACAGGGGCCUUCACCCUGGCUCCUCCUCCUCUAUUUUUCUCUUGAUCAUAUUGUUGGAAAAAUCGCUUUCUCAGGCUCCCCGGUGGUAGUAGUAGUAGCCAUGUAGACCAGCACCAGCUGAGCCUUCCCUGCCAGGUGCAAUCCAGAUCGUCCCUGUGUUCGCUCCCUGCACCUCCCUGGGAGUCCUUCUGGGGAUGGAGGGCAGUUGGAGGGUGCGUGUUCAGCCUUACUGGACAGUGUCCACCGUGCGUACUCGAGCAAGUGCCUUGAGGUCUCUGGGCCUUGUAGCAGCAUCUAUGCAGCAGGAGAAAAACAGCACCUGCUUCGUAGGCCGCCGUGAGGACAGAGCAAUUGAACCAGGGUGCACGGCCAGCGCCAGACACAGUGAGCUUCAUGGCAACUCCAGUUUACCGGUCACCUCGCUCGACCACGCCGCCUCCUAGCCCCUCGCCUGCCGUCCGCGUUUAGUGAGCAAUCCCUCACACCUCCGACCAUGGUUUCCAGAGACACCGAGCGGGCUACACACCGGGAAAGUUUUCUGUCCGCUCAGCAAUGCCUUCGGAUUGCUUAUGGGAUUGAGGGAAGCCUGGGAGACCUGCUCUGCCGAACGUGGUCCAAAUCCUCAUGGAGACAGGCGCACCAGAUCCUGCACCCAGGAGCUGGGACGCCGCUGGCAUGGGCCUGCUUAGGACUGUUCAGCAUCUCCUCACGCCAUUGCCCGACCCGCUAAUCAGCUUGAGGAGAAAGGAGAGAGGAAAUGCCGUCCUUUGACAAGAUGUGGGAAACCACCUCGGUUUGUACUUGGUGUGGCUGUGACCGGCAAACAAAGAACCCUCCCCGGCUCUGGGGCCAAGUUUCCAAUAAACUUUUCCCUGAGCACU